UGUUGCCUGUAGCAGGGAUAACCCCUCAUA
Molecule: non-coding RNA, 30 nt
Filed under: Homo sapiens (human)
Lineage: Eukaryota; Metazoa; Chordata; Mammalia; Primates; Hominidae
Source: RNAcentral